AUGAAGUUAUGCCCAAUAACUGUUAGGUGAGGGAUCCAAUGACGGCUUUGCACCUGCUUGUGAAUGGUGGGUCUGACUUAACUAAAAAGUGUGGACAAACUGUUAGGUGAGCCUACAUGACUUAGAGAUCAAAUCGCUGUAAUAUACUUAGAGAAGCAUCUGGAUAAAGAAUUAUCUACGCAUCGGUGUGCAUGUUAUCAAUAACUAUUAGGUGAGGUGCACGGCAUCGGUGGGACUAC
RNAcentral lists this long non-coding RNA (239 nucleotides) under Elaeis guineensis (African oil palm). RNAcentral describes it as "long non-coding RNA (EGUI_LNC021586)". The record is from RNAcentral. Lineage: Eukaryota; Viridiplantae; Streptophyta; Magnoliopsida; Arecales; Arecaceae.